Molecule: ribosomal RNA, 446 nt
Filed under: uncultured Pseudomonas sp.
Lineage: Bacteria; Pseudomonadati; Pseudomonadota; Gammaproteobacteria; Pseudomonadales; Pseudomonadaceae
Description: bacterial SSU rRNA
Rfam family: Bacterial small subunit ribosomal RNA
Source: RNAcentral
AGCAUGUGGUUUAAUUCGAAGCAACGCGAAGAACCUUACCAGGCCUUGACAUGCAGAGAACUUUCCAGAGAUGGAUUGGUGCCUUCGGGAACUCUGACACAGGUGCUGCAUGGCUGUCGUCAGCUCGUGUCGUGAGAUGUUGGGUUAAGUCCGUAACGAGCGCAACCCUUGUCCUUAGUUACCAGCACGUUAUGGUGGGCACUCUAAGGAGACUGCCGGUGACAAACCGGAGGAAGGUGGGGAUGACGUCAAGUCGUCAUGGCCCUUACGGCCUGGGCUACACACGUGCUACAAUGGUCGGUACAAAGGGUUGCCAAGCCGCGAGGUGGAGCUAAUCCCAUAAAACCGAUCGUAGUCCGGAUCGCAGUCUGCAACUCGACUGCGUGAAGUCGGAAUCGCUAGUAAUCGUGAAUCAGAAUGUCACGGUGAAUACGUUCCCGGGCCUU